CCAUUGUACAAGCCUAGAGGUAUGCUAACCUGGCAGAAUCCGGAUACCCCAGCAAUGGAGAGCAAGCUGAAAGCCUUCGCACGAAAGUCGUGUAGCUUCAAGACGUCUGUGUUUAGUUUUGGAGGGGGGCCUGGGACUGUAGGAAUUGCAAGGACCCCAAAAUCUUCAAGAAGUGCAGCAAGAGCUUCACGCAGUUCCAUUUUAAUGGAAUGACAAAGAUCAGUAUUCUCAUCUGUUGCCUUCAUGGCUUCUGAUACUCGAUCUGAUAUUCCUGGGCCCAAAUGAGG
Molecule: unclassified non-coding RNA, 287 nt
Filed under: Hevea brasiliensis (rubber tree)
Lineage: Eukaryota; Viridiplantae; Streptophyta; Magnoliopsida; Malpighiales; Euphorbiaceae
Source: RNAcentral